RNAcentral lists this unclassified non-coding RNA (250 nucleotides) under plant metagenome. Its description in RNAcentral is "partial contains small subunit ribosomal RNA, internal transcribed spacer 1, and 5.8S ribosomal RNA". The record is from RNAcentral.
GUAGGUGAACCUGCGGAAGGAUCAUUAACACGUUUUUUUCAUCAAAAACGUUUCUUUGCCACCUUUCAACCAAACGUGAACAAAUGUAGGCCAAUACAAUGGACGAAAUGCCACUCAGGGGUAUUUCUUGAUGUCUAACGGAAACUUCAUUGAUUCCGGUCAAGAUACCUUUGUUGGUGUUAUCCCCUGGCCGAUUUGCCCAAUUUUUCCCAAUUUUUAACCCUUCAUUUCUCUAUGUUGUCUCUCAUUU